Molecule: long non-coding RNA, 898 nt
Filed under: Gossypium raimondii (Peruvian cotton)
Lineage: Eukaryota; Viridiplantae; Streptophyta; Magnoliopsida; Malvales; Malvaceae
Description: long non-coding RNA (GRAI_LNC001064)
Source: RNAcentral
AUAAUAUCAAUAUAAUCGAAUUCCACAACUACAUUCUCAAGGUUUAGAUUCUUCAGCCAGGAGAGAGACUCCCUAAUUGCCAUCAGUUCAACCAUUUUUAGCUAAAAAAAGGGGAAUGUACCCAAGCAACCACGGAUAAAAACCCCCAGCAUGGUCAUGAUCGAUAGCUGCAAAAGAAGAACGACUCGACGCAGAAGAGGUAGCGUCAUUGACGUUUCAUUUAGCCCAACCACCAGUCAGCUUUUCCCAGGUGGCCCGACAGCUCCUCCUCCUAGUCGAAGCUAACUACACCCAGGUGAAGAUAACAUGAGCAUUGCGCCACUCCUGAAGAAAUCGGUUUACUUUAUCGAGAAUCAUGGUAGCCGUAGCAUCAGUUUGCUUCCAAACAAACAAGUUCCUGUGAAACCAUAAGCUCCAAGACAAAGUUAAAAUUCUGCAGCUCAUUGAAGGAUUAUUAGAUUGAAUGCGAAACCAUGAAAAAUCUACAGCCGGAAGAUGAUGGAAAUAAAGCCCAAUUGCAUUCAAAACUUCCACCGCUUUGUUGCAUUGUAAUAAAACAUGAUCCAUAGUCUCCAACUCCCCAUACGGCGAACAAGAUAGAUCGAUGGAGCUGCCUCGUUCAGCGAGUUGGCUUUUACACGAUAGAAAAAUUAAGCAAACACCUUCACGUAAAAUCCCUAACCUCCGGGGGCAACUCUAAAUUCCAUAACAACACCCAAAGGCCUUCCACUACUGGGGACAUCAAAUUAGUCAUAGUAGUCACAACCAUCCUAUAGCCCAACUUUACUUCAUAAGAGUCAAAACGAGUAUAGUGCCAAAUGAUUCGAUCAGGAGGUUUAGCAAAUGAAACAGAGGCCUUCAAAAUACGAGUAGCAUCAUAUGGAGUCAUAGUCCCUUC